Molecule: long non-coding RNA, 552 nt
Organism: Hemicordylus capensis (graceful crag lizard)
Lineage: Eukaryota; Metazoa; Chordata; Lepidosauria; Squamata; Cordylidae
Exons: 3
Source: RefSeq, a predicted model, not a curated record
GAAGCCCCGCCGAGAUGCCCCGCCGGAAGUCAUCUUCGACUUCCGAAAUGCUCCGCCGGAAGGCUCUUCCACCAAUAGGAGAGCGAGUUUCCGCGCAGAGGCGGGAACGUUGGCUCAUCUAGCCAAUCGAGGCCUAGUCGGACUGAGAAGGGCGGGUGUUGAGAUGCGCCUGGGGAAGCCUAAAGCGCUGGAGGCGACAUUUGGCUGGGAGUCAAUGGGCGUAAGGUGGUGCCGCUCUGUUCUGUGGUAUCUCUAUGGUGGAACCCUAUGCUUUGCGGCGGACGUUAAGAGGUAGAAACGAGGUUCUGCAACGGAGAGAAAUGCCUGGAAGAAGAGACUGCCCGGAUGUUCGCCUGCCAUAGAGCCAUGAACAGACCAGAGUAUGUGUGGAAGCAAGGUGUGGAGGAAAACCUGGGGAAAGUGAGUGCGUGGAAGCAAGAUAGGAAGAAAAGCUAAACUGGGAUACCGUUGAGAAGCAACUUAUACUGAAGAAGGCAGAAGUCCAAACUCCAAACAUCUUGCCCGUGAUAUUUCUGACUGCUAAUCCACGAU